Molecule: ribosomal RNA, 457 nt
Filed under: uncultured bacterium
Lineage: Bacteria
Description: bacterial SSU rRNA
Rfam family: Bacterial small subunit ribosomal RNA
Source: RNAcentral
AGAGUUUGAUCAUGGCUCAGAACGAACGCUGGCGGCAUGCUUAUCACAUGCAAGUCGAACGGGCGCCUUCGGGCGCUAGUGGCGCACGGGUGAGUAACGCGUGGGAACCUGUCAUGAAGUGGGGAACAACCACUGGAAACGGUGGCUAAUACCGCAUACGCCCUGAGGGGCAAAGGCUUCGGCCGCUUUGUGAGGGGCCCGCGUCCGAUUAGCUAGUUGGUGGGGUAACGGCCUACCAAGGCUACGAUCGGUAGCUGGUCUGAGAGGAUGAUCAGCCACACUGGGACUGAGACACGGCCCAGACUCCUACGGGAGGCAGCAGUGGGGAAUAUUGGACAAUGGGCGAAAGCCUGAUCCAGCAAUGCCGCGUGAGUGAAGAAGGCCUUAGGGUUGUAAAGCUCUUUCGCCUGCGACGAUGAUGACGGUAGCAGGAGAAGAAGCCCCGGCUAAUUCCGUG